Molecule: unclassified non-coding RNA, 601 nt
Filed under: Hevea brasiliensis (rubber tree)
Lineage: Eukaryota; Viridiplantae; Streptophyta; Magnoliopsida; Malpighiales; Euphorbiaceae
Source: RNAcentral
UAUCAUUUGAAAAACCUAGAUAAUAUAUAUAAAUAUAAAAACCCAAAUUUAUUUCAUAUACAAUAUCAUAUCCAAAUUGGUAUAGAAAUACCCAAAAACAAGUAAAUCCAAUAUCUUAAAAACCCAAUAAAAAGAACAAUUUUUUAUGGAACAUUGUCAUAUUUACAUUCCUAGAAAUAUACCCAAACACAUAUAGAAAACAAAUACAAAUAGAUCCAAUGUCUGAAAAACCCAAUCAACAGAAGAGUUUUAGGUGGAAUAAAAUUACUUACCAAGAGCCGUGAUACCAAUUUGAGAAUUGCCACCCAUAAUUAAUCAUCCAUCGACGAAAAUAAGAAGAGAAUCACAUAUGUUAGAACUUUUCACUUCAGAAUUCUUGAAAUUGUGGCUGAUUAAACACAACUACACAAGCAGUUUUAGAAGAGUUUCUCAUCUCUAGUGCCAACUUUGCAGAAAACGAGAAGAUUAAACAAUGAGAGCAUAAAAUUUGCUAUUAAUAUGGUGUAUUUUAUAAUUUCAGUCUUUCAUACUCUUAUUUUUUUAUUUUCACUCUAGAAGUCCAAAUUGAAGAAUUUUUUUGAGUUUAGAGGAAAUUUAAGAA